RNAcentral lists this non-coding RNA (63 nucleotides) under Paucibacter sp. KCTC 42545. RNAcentral describes it as "Betaproteobacteria toxic small RNA". It matches the Rfam family "Betaproteobacteria toxic small RNA". From Rfam's summary of the family: Overexpression in amino aid rich medium attenuates growth, suggesting role in repressing amino acid intake and metabolism. The record is from Rfam by way of RNAcentral. Lineage: Bacteria; Pseudomonadati; Pseudomonadota; Betaproteobacteria; Burkholderiales; Sphaerotilaceae.
UGUCUCCUCCACCGCCUCCAUGGUGGAUUCAGCCCGGACUCGCAAGAGUUCGGGCUUUUUUUC